RNAcentral lists this ribosomal RNA (253 nucleotides) under uncultured prokaryote. RNAcentral's name for it is "partial 16S ribosomal RNA". It matches the Rfam family "Bacterial small subunit ribosomal RNA", at positions 526 to 777 of the family's 1533-position model. The record is from RNAcentral.
CGUAGGGUGCAAGCGUUGUCCGGAAUUACUGGGCGUAAAGCGCGCGCAGGCGGCCAUUCAAGUCGGGGGUGAAAUCCCAGAGCUCAACUCUGGAAUUGCCUUCGAGACUGAGUGGCUUCGAGUACGGGAGAGGUGAGUGGAAUUCCCAGUGUAGAGGUGAAAUUCGUAGAUAUUGGGAAGAACACCGGUGGCGAAGGCGGCUCACUGGCCCGUUACUGACGCUCAGGCGCGACAGCGUGGGGAUCAAACAGGA